AAACCACGCUCUCUCCCUUUCAAAAUAUACAUAUUUUUCUUUGAACAAACACCGGGAUCUCUCGCCACCACGCACGUGCCACGACGACCCGCGUCUGUUCCCACUCUGGCCCACGCGUUUGCUUCAUAAACCUUCCCCUUUUUCUUCCUCCUCUAUAAAAUCCAACAAUUAAAACUGUCUAUCAUCCAUCCUUUGUUUUCUUCGAAGCAGCUCACCAUGGCGGUAAGAACUGUCAAAGUCUGUAAUGUUUCUUUAGGAGCAACUG
This 265-nucleotide unclassified non-coding RNA is filed under the name Hevea brasiliensis (rubber tree). The record is from RNAcentral. Lineage: Eukaryota; Viridiplantae; Streptophyta; Magnoliopsida; Malpighiales; Euphorbiaceae.